RNAcentral lists this antisense RNA (75 nucleotides) under Streptomyces sp. AmelKG-D3. RNAcentral's name for it is "ASpks TB sRNA". It matches the Rfam family "ASpks TB sRNA". Lineage: Bacteria; Bacillati; Actinomycetota; Actinomycetes; Kitasatosporales; Streptomycetaceae. The record is from RNAcentral.
CUUCAGCGAACCCAGCCACAACGGGCGGCCGGCAGGCCGGUCCUGACCGUACGUGGCCAGCAGUGCGUCGGCCUC